GCCAGGUGUGGUGGUGCACACCUGUAAUCGCAGCUACUCAGAGGCUGAGGCAGGGGAAUUGCUUGAACCCAGGAGGCAGAGGUUGCAGUGAGCUGAGGUUGUGCCACUGCACUCCAGCCUGGGCAACAGAGGAAGAUUCUGUCUCAA
This is an unclassified non-coding RNA of Macaca fascicularis (crab-eating macaque), 147 nucleotides long. It matches the Rfam family "Metazoan signal recognition particle RNA". Rfam says of the family: The signal recognition particle (SRP) is a universally conserved ribonucleoprotein. It is involved in the co-translational targeting of proteins to membranes. The eukaryotic SRP consists of a 300-nucleotide 7S RNA and six proteins: SRPs 72, 68, 54, 19, 14, and 9. NCBI's taxonomy places the organism in Eukaryota, Metazoa, Chordata, Mammalia, Primates, Cercopithecidae. The record is from Ensembl.